This is a non-coding RNA of Oryctolagus cuniculus (rabbit), 2748 nucleotides long. The record is from RefSeq and is a predicted model, not a curated record. NCBI's taxonomy places the organism in Eukaryota, Metazoa, Chordata, Mammalia, Lagomorpha, Leporidae.
CCACCGCCUCAGCGCCCCCGUCCAACACAGACUGGGAGGGGAGACCCCGGCCCGGGACGCCGUGACUGGCCAGAGUUGAAGGGGAGACUCCCGUCAGAUCAUGGACUAGCUAACGUGAACAGGACUCACCCGCUGGCAGGAUCACAGAGACGGGGAGAGAGAUCUUCCAUUCACUAGUUCACUCCACAAAUGGCUACAGGAGUCAGAUCUGGGCCAGGCUGAAGCCAGGAGCCAGGAGCUCCAUCCGGGUCUUCCUCAUGGGUGACAUGGGCCAUCUUCCACUGCCUUUCCACACCAUUAGCAGGAAGUUGGACUGGAAACCGAGCUGCUGCGACUGGAACUGGUACCAGGAUAUGGGAUUCGGGCAUCAGAAGCUGUGGUCUAACCCACUGCGCCACCUAGGAAGGAAAGGAGAAUUCAACUGGAGUCCUCCAUCUCAUCUCGCUUCUCUUGAAUGAAGGUAAACCUGCCCUAGACUGGUUCCUGGAUACCAACUCAGCCAGAUCACCAGUAAUGCUCCCAAGCAGCUUUCUCAUCCUGAUGACCUUGAACUACUAGAUCCAUCCUGAGAGGGAGGCUGGAGCUGGGCUCCUCAUUACUGCUGUUUAGCAUUUAGAGGACUUUCAAAGGGCACUGUUUACUUCUAAUUAGGAAUGGUGCAAGCCUGUUGACACUGCUCCCUUGGUGCCCAAGAAACACAAUCAGCUGUUGAAGAAACUGAGAAAGAAGCAGAGACAAACAAGUCUUGCUGCCUCCAGCAUGGCUGGGUUCUACUCUCCAGAUGCCUUCUAGCCAGACUUCAGCACGGGCGGAAACCAGGGUCCCAGAAAGUUCCUGCUCAGUGAUCCGCCCCACGUUACAGGAGCUAGAGAUUGGGAAGGGUCUCCUGACCUCACAGCAGGUGCUUUUUUUUUUUUGACAGGCAGAGUGGACAGUGAGAGAGAGAGACAGAGAGAAAGGUCUUCCUUUUGCCGUUGGUUCACCCUCCAAUGGCCGCCGCAGCCGGCGCACCGCGCUGAUCUGAAGCCAGCAGCCAGGUGCUUUUCCUGGUCUCCCAUGGGGUGCAGGGCCCAAGCACUUGGGCCAUCCUCCACUGCACUCCCGGGCCACAGCAGAGAGCUGGCCUGGAAGAGGGGCAACGGGGACAGAAUCCGGCGCCCCGACCAGGACUAGAACCCGGUGUGCCGGCGCCGCUAGGUGGAGGAUUAGCGCUGGCCAGCAGGUGCUAUUCUACAACUCCAAGGACGGGCUUUCAUCACCAUGCUAUCCAAGGUGAAGAGAUCUCCAGAAGAUCUGUUCUUAGACCCUGUUUCUCUACUAAAACAUAGCACUCCCCUAGCCCAGGGUGUUGGCAAUUUGGAUUGCCCGUAACUCUCUCCCCGGGGCCUGAAGCUGAGAGGAUUCAAGGCACCUGGACUCCUAAGGAAAUUUGCUGGCAAGCUUCUUGAAGAACCAGUCAUCACUGACUUCAGAGAACAGAGAUGUGCAGGCCACCAAGCUUGGCUGUCUCUGAGCACCUGCCUUGUUGAGAGGGCUACAGAGAUGUACAGACCAGUACCAGAUGAAACCCGUUGCUUACCAGCAAGCUUCCCUGGGUGCCCGAUGUAUGAAGAGUCCACAAUCAUCAUCUGCACACCUGUUGCACAGAAAGGUGCUAUCCCACAAUAGCUGUUGUUGCUGAAAAUCUGCUUUUCUACAGUCCCAGGUACUCCCAGACCUUACUGGCUGCAGCCAACAUUGUAACUGCAGCCUGCAGGUGCCUUAGCAUUCAUUAUUUAAAGGACACAUCUGCAGCCACCAUCUUUGAACAAGUGAUGUACGUCAAGAUGCGAUUUGUCAGCGGGCGGGCUGCUGUCCAACAAUACUGCCUCAAGAAACUGACCUCACACUUGGAAGACAGAGUGCCCUGGGCACACCCAUUCUCAAUUUAUCAUGGCCCCUGAUUAUUAUAAAGGAGAUACAUGCUCUACAGUCAUUUAUGGGGCUAAUACUCAUUUGAUGAGGGUGAAUGGAGAUCAGAAAAUGACUUCAUGGAUGUAGACGGCAUUUAAGCUAAAUAAGGCUACUAGAGCUUGAAAAAGAGCAAAGUGAGGAAAGACUUAAGGAGAGAGAUGGGCAGAGGCACACGGCAAGGCUGCAAGAUAGGGAAGGAACGCUUGAAAAAUGACCACUAGUGAGGAAGCGGAGGCAGUGUUUGGAUGGGUGAUUACAGAACCAGUCCUGUAGGUCAGGAAGAGUCACCUAGCAGCGCUGGCUAGAAAUGUGUGUGUGUGUGUGGGGGGGGGGAGCCCGCAGGAAAACCUCCGUGAAGCUCCACAGUAGACCUGGCGGUGGCAGAGCCGGAGAGGACGUGGCAGCAUGAGAGCAAGCCCAGAGUCGGCACCUGACGUCAGCGCUCUGAGGCGAGCAGCAGCUGUGUCAGGUGAUAAGGACGCAGUCUUCCCGAAACAAAUGACCACAGCAGACCCGCGUGGCGUUCCAAACCAGCACACCGCGCUUCAGGCCUCGUACUCUCGACCAAAGCACUGGGCAAACCGCGGGGAAGGAACGCACACAGGACACUCAGCAGGCACCUUAUAAUACAGUAUUUAUUUGUCUUCCCUCUGUCAAACCCUGAGCCAACCACUUGCCCCAGGUGUCCUGGGAAGGUACAGGAACGGAAAUGCACAGGGCAGACGAGGAUGGGACAAGGACCUGCGGGAGGUGGCGACGACUCUUUCACAUGGCGAAGAGGAUGAGAAAGGCCAC